CCAAGUUUUACACUUCCAUUCCAAAAUUGUUUACCCAAAUGCAACUUACCACUUGUGUGAUGAUUCUAAAGACAGGAAAUGGAACUGUAUUCCUAAAAUACCUUGAAAAUGCUGAGCCGAAUCAUAAAAAUUCAAUACAGCAGAUAUAUUUUUUUUUGUCAGUUGUGGUGUAAGACUAUUGAAGACUAUGCUUACUGUUUAAAUGGAAUUGGCCUGG
Non-coding RNA from Pelobates cultripes (western spadefoot toad), 217 nucleotides. The record is from the annotation of a GenBank genome assembly. Lineage: Eukaryota; Metazoa; Chordata; Amphibia; Anura; Pelobatidae.